CCUACGGGCGGCAGCAGUGGGGAAUAUUGCACAAUGGGGGAAACCCUGAUGCAGCGACGCCGCGUGAGUGAAGAAGUAUUUCGGUAUGUAAAGCUCCUUCAGCAGGGAAGAAAAUGACGGUACCUGACCAAGAAGCACCGGCUAACUACGUGCCAGCAGCCGCGGUAAUACGUAGGGGGCAAGCGUUAUCCGGAUUUACUGGGUGUAAAGGGAGCGUAGACGGCAGGGCAAGUCUGGAGUGAAAGGCGGGGGCUCAACCCCCGGACUGCUCUGGAAACUGCCAGGCUGGAGUGCAGGUGAGGUAAGUGGAAUGCCUAGUGUAGCGGUGAAAUGCGUAGAUAUUAGGAGGAACACCAGUGGCGAAGGCGGCUUACUGGACUGUAACUGACGUUGAGGCUCGAAAGCGUGGGGAGCAAACAGGAUUAGAUACCCCUGUAGUC
RNAcentral lists this ribosomal RNA (440 nucleotides) under uncultured bacterium. RNAcentral's name for it is "partial 16S ribosomal RNA". It matches the Rfam family "Bacterial small subunit ribosomal RNA", at positions 338 to 795 of the family's 1533-position model. The record is from RNAcentral.